This 1129-nucleotide long non-coding RNA is filed under the name Marmota monax (woodchuck). The record is from RNAcentral. Lineage: Eukaryota; Metazoa; Chordata; Mammalia; Rodentia; Sciuridae.
CUUCUCUUCAAAAGACCAUGUUAAGAAUAUUGAAAAUAUGUACAUAGCAAAUAUGUAUGUAGCAGAAGAUAUGUAUAUAGUAAGUGAUGGUUAUAAAGAAGAAGAAAAAAAUUUAAAAAAUAAAACUAAGUAACAGGAGAAAAUACAAGAGAAUUUGACUGUAGCAGGAGAAGAAAGGAAAGAAAUGAACCAAUACAAAACAAAAAUAAACCAAAAACCCUAAUCCUCAAAAGACAAGGAAAAAUAACUAUCAUAAAAAUGAGAAAAAAAGAAACAAAUAUGUAUGUAUACAUAUACCCACGUGUGUGUGUACACAAACCAAUCAUCACAGCAAGAACACCAAAAGAAGAAAGAAAAAGAUUCUUAAUUAAAAUAAAAGAAUUGUCUCCAAAGAGCUGAAAAGGGUGGAUGGUUACUGCCUAUGCCCCACUGUUCUUCUUUCUACUUCUUUGUUUUGCCAAAAUAUUCACUUGCGUGUCCAGAUGACCCCUGCAUCUGGACAGCACAACUAUUCCACCAUAUAUCCCUAGACAUCUCCAUCUUUCAAAUUGUAUUUUCCGGCUUGGGUAGGAUCAGGGAAUGCAUGUCGCUGCCUCUCUCUUCCCAGUGUGAGGCUUCAUGCUGUCUGCUCCUUUCCUGUGUUUCUAGUUCUUGAGCUUCCAAGAGUUUGCUAACUAAUUUUAAUAAAACUGUUUUUCAAGUGUAGUUGAUUUUCCUUCUGUUGAUAUUUUUCACUUUAUAUCUCCAUGCAUUCCCAACACUAUUUUUAUCUUUUCAGCUCUUGUACAUAUUUAUAGGAGACAGGUAAAAUUUCAUAAGCCAGAUCCAGAAGGCAAGAAUCUUAACAGCUUCAAAUUACUUUCUUCCCAGGACCUAAAACAUACUUUGAGGAGCUCUGAGCAUGUUACGAGCCUCUCCCGUCUUAUCUCAUUCCAGCAGUUUCAUAUACUAAAUAAAAUAAUAUCUAAAGUAGAAAAGUCAGUUAAUACUUCCUGUGAUCUCAGUCACUACUUUGAACUCAUUUGAGUUCAACAUGCUUUGAAAACUUGGAUCGCUAGGGAAGUGAUAAAACUUAUUUAGCUAAAUUUAUAAAGAUCAGUGAAAAUAUUCAUUCAGAACACUACCUGCC